GAGAACAAAAAGGAACCGAUUAAAUAAUUAGACGCACAGAAAAAAAAUGUAAGGUAGAUAACUUUUUUCUAAAAUGUAUUUUUUUUUACAACAAUAUGAUUAUUUAUGCCUUGGAGAGCUGUGGUGCCAUUUAACAACUAGUACCGGAUUUAAUACAUUCGCUCCACUCGCUGCAGCAACGUGGAGAGGACAAGAGGCUAGAGGGGUGAGAGGCUAGGGAGGGAGCAGAGAGUGGCGGGGGAAGGGGCGCAAGUGACCGCUGCACACACACGCGGAUCCUCAGAGAGGGAGCAGACUGCAGAGCACUGAAUAUAUUGAAGGAAAGCUGAUACCAGGUAGUGCUGAGUAACGCAGGCCUGGUUUCGACCAGACAGAGAAUGGAUGCUCCUGAGUGAGUACUCCCACAGGGACUAAGCAGAGAGCCUCUGUCCUGGUGCGGUCACACAGCGAGAGAGAGAGGGGGGUGGAGGUCGGGCUGACAUCCAGUGCAACCCUUCAACCUCCAGGACAGCCAGGGAGCGUUGAGCUCCAUCUGCUCCUGUCCGUCGGUCGUGUCGGUGCCAGGCUCCACAUGCCACUCAGCAGCAGAACAGAGCCUUAGCCUUACUUCGCCUGCGCCACCCUGUCCUGCCAACACUGCAGAACAGUUAGGCAGUGCCUUUACUGUGAUAAUGGGACUUGGGACGGGGAGUGCGGCACACCGGCUGGGCAGGACUGUGUCCCAUGCUGCUCUCCCUCUCUAUCAGUGGCUUGUGUAUUACUUUACUCAGUCUGUGGGAUCUCAAGUGAAACUGUUCAAGUUCUUAUCAUAGAGGCGUCAUAGAGGCAGGUGUCAUGACCAUAGGGGGCACAAGGUCAUGUGCCCCCUCAGAUUUGUCCUGUUUUAAAUGAUCCAGGUAUUUCAGAUGUUCAAUUAAUUACUAAACUUCCUUUUCAAGCGCAGGUUUUAUAAUUAUUUAUCAAAAUAUCUAUAAGCUGUAUUGUGGAGGUGCCACACUGACUGAACCAAGCAAAGAGUACACCCCCCUAUUUUCCCUAGCAAGUGGUUCUUUGUGCAUGUGACAAAUAACACUUGAAACUUCCUUCCAAGGAGCAAAGAUAUGCUAGAUAGUCUGUCUAGUGUGUGCAGACAGUAUCGUCAGUGGAGGAGGAGAGAGAGUGUAGAGUGAUACCAGCUCCAUACAAACACACAGCAUUUGAUUUUAGCUGUCGAUGAUGGGCAGGAUUCGCAUGAGGUAUAUUUGUAAAUUAAUUGUUUGUAAAUGAAUCAAGCUAUGUAGCCUAUUUAAGCCUUCUUGGUGAAUAAAUACAACCAAUAUGCUUUAUUGUUUCUCUGUAAUACUAGCCACCUAGCAAUUUUCUGAAGUUGGCUUUAGCUAGCCAGCUAGAUAGGUUUCCAAUAUCCCAACCUGACAACUAGCUACCAAGCCAUUUCAGGCUAUCAAUAAAGUAGCAUGUCUAACUACCUUAGCAGGAAUGCCUGCUGGUAAGUUUGUUAAGCUUUAGAAAAGCAAGCAAGUACUAAAUGUACUGAAUAAUUUGUAAGUCGCUCUGGAUAAGAGCGUCUGCUAAAUGACUUAAAUGUAAAUGUAAAUAAGACUCAUAUUCCUUUCAAUCUUUUACCCAGAUUUUAGCAGAGAAGCAUAUUUAGGGUUACGCUAUAUACCAGCGUGGCAGUUAUA
This is a long non-coding RNA of Oncorhynchus gorbuscha (pink salmon), 1682 nucleotides long. RefSeq lists it as uncharacterized. The record is from RefSeq and is a predicted model, not a curated record. NCBI's taxonomy places the organism in Eukaryota, Metazoa, Chordata, Actinopteri, Salmoniformes, Salmonidae. The transcript is spliced from 3 exons.